Fukomys damarensis (Damara mole-rat) is the source of this 1852-nucleotide long non-coding RNA. RefSeq lists it as uncharacterized. The record is from RefSeq and is a predicted model, not a curated record. The transcript is spliced from 5 exons. Lineage: Eukaryota; Metazoa; Chordata; Mammalia; Rodentia; Bathyergidae.
CGCUGCAGUCACCCCUGCAGUCCGUCGUCCACUGGCCAGUUCAGCAGCCAGCUGUGCCGUUAGGAGGGGGGGCCCCGGUUAGAGGUUGCGCCCUGAGAGUGCCCUGGAAUGGUGCAUCCUUCUCCCCAGCUCCUCCCUUCCCGCUCCUCUUCCGGGCUGCCCUGGGUUGGGCAGCCUCCCUCCUCCGGGUCCUUCCUCCACGCCGUUGCUGCUUUAGAACCGACGGACUGGACAGAAGCCGACUGAACCUGAGUCCAGAUAAACCUCUCCUUUAAAUUGAGGACGUCGAGUAUUUUGUCCCAGCGAGAGGAACGCUGACCGACACAAGUGACCAAAUAAAGCACCGUGUUCCGUCAGUGUGGGUAAUGCGGUCACUGAACGACACGAGUGCAUUAUCUCUGACCCAGCAGAAAGCCGUCUGGAAGCGCGAGUCCCCGGCUGCUGAUCCGUGGGGUCCGAAGCCGCUCCGCCCGGGACGCGCGCGCCUGGGCACUUGAGGCGCGUUGGCCGAGGCCGGACCGACCGCGAAGUCCCCGGGAAAGGGGCUCUUCGCAAGGAAACCCAAGGCCCAGGCUUGUGCCCGGCAGGGGGCGACCUCACCUUCCGGACCCAGGACGCCUGGGCCGAAACUCCAGAGACCAAAACUCCUUGGAGACCAGAAUCCCCGGGCCUUGGUUUUCUCCGCAUCCGAUUCCCUUCGUUCCCUGAGUUCUACCAAAGGCUCUGAGGUUGGAAGACCCGGUUUAGCGGCGCAGCUGGGCUAACCCCGGAACGUCACUGGGGUCCGCCGGGGACAUCGGUGGCGAGAGGGCACCACCUUGCGGCCAGGGCGGAGGUGGCAGCGGCUGUCAGAAUUUAAGAGGCAGCAGGAGGAUCAUGCCCCUUCCUGCCUUGGGGACCCCUGCCUUCUCUCAGGGACACCUCAUCGACCCAGCUCUUCCCACCCCAGCUCCACCCAGCACUAGGAGGGGGCCUCAAAGCACACGUGUGGACACCUCAACCCCCACGAGAGAGCCCCUGUCCACCCCACCCUCUGAGACAGGGAUGCAGAAAAGUAUCAACUGCAGAAUGAAGAUGCGAACAGGAUCAACAGCAUUAUCACUGUACUAAGAAACAGAAGCUAAAAUGCACUUUGAUAAUAACAUGAAGAAUUCAAAGUUGAAUACUCUGGUUGCCAGGCGUGGUGGCACACACCUGAAAUCCCAGCAACACCACAAGGACCUAGGAAGACCAACUACCAAGAACUCAUGGAAAAAAAAUCGGGCUUGCAAACCUGCAGGACGUAAUAUCCUAGACUGGAAUCUUCUCUGGGGUCCACGACAGCUCCAGCUACUAAGUUUCUUUGUUCUUCACCCGAGUCAUCCAAGUGACUCACUGUCUCUCACUCCUUCCUCCUUUUCACCUCUGUGCCUGCUCUCUGGGGUAGCCCGAUUCAAAGGAGAGAUCUGCCCAGGCGUGAGUAAGCAUGCUCUUCAGAAACGCCCUUGCUAAUCGGCUCUGUCAUAUUCCAAUAAGAGAUAGGCGAUUGUCAGCCACUUCGCAAUCCUUGGACAGACGUCGGUUUUAACCAGAUUUCAUCGGCGAGCUGCAGAAAUUGGCAGGGGCCCUUCAGUGUGCUGUCGAUGUGUCUGGAAUUCAAAUAAUUUGAUUCCGAGAUACAGUGACAAUGGAGAGCAAGCCAUUACCUCGAGACACGGAUGCAGACAGCUGCUGCGACCCCUGUUCAUGGGAGGGAAACCGCUGCUCCCCAUGGCCACCCCCCCGGAAACCUCUAGCAUGCCUCGCUGCUGUUGCCCUUACUCAAGGACAUUAAAUUAAAAAGUAUGCAGCUGGCAAUUCUUUUUCUCUGUUU